GCCGCCUUAGUUCAGUGGUUUAGAACACUCCCCUGGUACGGGAGAGGUCCUGGGUUCGAUUCCCAGAGGCGGCAC
RNAcentral lists this transfer RNA (75 nucleotides) under Microbacterium phage PauloDiaboli. RNAcentral describes it as "tRNA-Thr". It matches the Rfam family "tRNA". Rfam says of the family: Transfer RNA (tRNA) molecules are approximately 80 nucleotides in length. Their secondary structure includes four short double-helical elements and three loops (D, anti-codon, and T loops). The record is from RNAcentral. Lineage: Duplodnaviria; Heunggongvirae; Uroviricota; Caudoviricetes.